CUAAUUUUCGUAUGCGAUAAAUUCAUUUCAUUUUUAUUAUUAAUAUACUUAUAUUUUUUUCGCUUUAACAUAAUUUCAAUACCAUUCUUCACAAUAAAAGUGUAUCUAGAGUAAUUAAACCUUCCUAUAUACUCAAUAAUAACAUUGAAUAAUGGAGGAAGAUAUUUUCCCUCUCAAGCUCACAAGCACGUGUUCUGCCACGCCCUUGUGGAAUACUUCUUUGCUUCGGGUCACAAACCACUCUUCUGAAAUAUUAAUAGACUUGACUUAGCCGGUAAUGAUUUUGAAAUUAUUUUUCUCUCUACGAAAACAAAGUCCAGAAACGUCUCCUUAAGAAAGUAAACGCUAAUGACCUGCGCGCUUGGAGUUCAUUAAGAUUUUCGUUCUUACAUCCGUCUUCCUCCGACUAUCGUGAUUAACAUGUAGUAUAUCUUGAGUGCAUUUUAGGACAACGGAAGAACCUGAUAAGAACUGCUGCUUUCUGCUGAGCUUUUGCUGUCCACACGUAAACAGCGCGUUAGACUUGGACAUUAUGACGUUAGAGUGUAGACCAUAUAUCCGUGAGUAUAGUACUAACUAAUUAGUACAAAAUAGCACCAAUAAAACGAUUGAAAUCAAAAGCAAUAGAGAUGUGUUUUAAGUGUUAUAUAUACAUAUAUAUAUUUGCUAUUUCACGGAUACCAUGGCCGGUUUGCACUAUUUUUAAAAUGUAUUGGAAAGGGGAAGUUCUUCCUAAUUACAAAAUAAACACAUCCAAGAAUUAAAUUGCGCUUUGACCAUCUUUCCUUGAUGCUUAAACGACAGCCUUGAGGACCACAAGUUUAUUAGCCGCCUUUACGAAAAAUACUUGAGAGUUUCAACUACAGAGAAGAAGAAGAAGAAAAACAAAAAAAACAAAAAAACGCACUAAAGCCCGCGACAAAACACGUUUUUAUUUUUGUUUUCUUACUAAGAGCCUGAAAUUCGUUUUCCUCCUGUUGAGGUUUUGGUUUUCAGCACACGAUUUAUAUAGUUUAUAUUCUGAUUUAGAUAAGACUGACAGAUAAUGAGAAUAUAUAUUCCCUCGUACGUAAAUAUGUAUAAAUCAUAAGUUAACGCAUGCGCAAUGUGGAAGUUAUCUUUCCAAAGAGUGCAUUUCCUAUCACUAUGCUGCAUGGUCAAGUCGCAGGCUUGGCCAAUAAAGGGAUUCUUAAUGUAUUUGUCAUGAGUUUUUCGUUCCGGUUGGUUGUUUUGCUCGACUCGCUAUUCGUUACCCUGCUGGCAGAGUCUCCUUAGCUGUUCGUUCGUUUGCUGUCUGUUUGUUCGCUCGUUCGUUCACUCAACCGACUUUUCCUCAUUUUCUUUUGCUUGCUUGUGUUUUUCUUUGUGUGUAUUUUUUCUCUUUUAUUUGGUUGUGACUAUUUAGGUUUUUUCCUCUCCUGGUUUGCAUGUCUAAUUUGUUUCAGGCAUUAUAAACAUAUCAACUCUGCUUUCCCAUCACACUGGAGUUACCGAAUGCAAAAUGAUAAUAAAAUCCCUACAUAAAACGGAAAUUAUACUUUGGUGCAAUCUUCACAAGUGACUCAACCUUUGCGGAUAACGUAUUUCUUGCGAUAAGUAGGCUUUUACAGAUUACAGUAAUGCAACUUAUACCGACUUUCUCAACUGACUCAAACAAAGGUUAUUCCACUUACAUAAGAUAUGCAAAGCGUGCAAAACCGCUUGAACGCCAGGUCAAUCCUAGCUCACACAACCACACACUAACGAGGCUUAUCUUAGAUAUACGGAUGAGUACAACUGAGCUUCUUAAUCAUGGCUCUACGUGGGGCCUUGGUUUUUCAUAUGUAAAUUUGACUUUCGAUGUUAUCUAUAAUAUCUGGUCAAAAAUAACCAAAAUAAACUCGCGUUGUUUUAGUCAUAGAUUAUUUAUUAGCACAUUUAUCAUAAACUAGUUUGUGCUUCUCCAGA
Molecule: long non-coding RNA, 1947 nt
Organism: Actinia tenebrosa (Australian red waratah sea anemone)
Lineage: Eukaryota; Metazoa; Cnidaria; Anthozoa; Actiniaria; Actiniidae
Source: RefSeq, a predicted model, not a curated record